UACGGAGGGUGCUAGCGUUGUCCGGAUUUAUUGGGCGUAAAGAGCGUGUAGGCGGCCUGGUAGGUCAGCUGUGAAAACUCGAGGCUCAACCUCGAGACGCCGGUUGAAACCAUCAGGCUAGAGUCCGGAAGAGGAGAGUGGAAUUCCCGGUGUAGCGGUGAAAUGCGCAGAUAUCGGGAAGAACACCCGUGGCUAAGGCGGCUCUCUAGUACGGUACUGACGCUGAGACGCGAAAGCGUGGGGAGCGAACAGG
Molecule: ribosomal RNA, 253 nt
Filed under: uncultured bacterium
Lineage: Bacteria
Description: partial 16S ribosomal RNA
Rfam family: Bacterial small subunit ribosomal RNA
Source: RNAcentral